RNAcentral lists this ribosomal RNA (841 nucleotides) under Herbiconiux sp. Its description in RNAcentral is "bacterial SSU rRNA". The record is from RNAcentral. Lineage: Bacteria; Bacillati; Actinomycetota; Actinomycetes; Micrococcales; Microbacteriaceae.
UGCAGUCGAGCGGUGAUGCAGGAGCUUGCUCUUGUGGAUCAGUGGCGAACGGGUGAGUAACACGUGAGUAACCUGCCCUUGACUCUGGGAUAAGCGUUGGAAACGACGUCUAAUACUGGAUACGAACCGCAACCGCAUGGUUAGUGGUUGGAAAGAUUUUUUGGUCAAGGAUGGACUCGCGGCCUAUCAGCUUGUUGGUGAGGUAAUGGCUCACCAAGGCGACGACAGGUAGCCRGCCUGAGAGGGUGACCGGCCACACUGGGACUGAGACACGGCCCAGACUCCUACGGGAGGCAGCAGUGGGGAAUAUUGCACAAUGGGCGCAAGCCUGAUGCAGCAACGCCGCGUGAGGGAUGACKGCCUUCGGGUUGUAAACCUCUUUUAGUAGGGAAGAAGCGAAAGUGACGGUACCUGCAGAAAAAGCACCGGCUAACUACGUGCCAGCAGCCGCGGUAAUACGUAGGGUGCAAGCGUUGUCCGGAAUUAUUGGGCGUAAAGAGCUCGUAGGCGGUUUGUCGCGUCUGCUGUGAAAACUGGAGGCUCAACCUCCAGCCUGCAGUGGGUACGGGCAGACUAGAGUGCGGUAKGGGAGAUUGGAAUUCCUGGUGUAGCGGUGGAAUGCGCAGAUAUCAGGAGGAACACCGAUGGCGAAGGCAGAUCUCUGGGCCGUAACUGACGCUGAGGAGCGAAAGCGUGCGGAGCGAACAGGAUUAGAUACCCUGGUAGUCCACGCCGUAAACGUUGGGAACUAGAUGUGGGGGCCAUUCCACGGUCUCCGUGUCGCAGCUAACGCAUUAAGUUCCCCGCCUGAGGAGUACGGCCGCAAGGCUAAAACUCAAAA